This 4793-nucleotide small RNA is filed under the name Pongo abelii (Sumatran orangutan). RNAcentral's name for it is "retained intron". The record is from RNAcentral. Lineage: Eukaryota; Metazoa; Chordata; Mammalia; Primates; Hominidae.
GAACAAAUUAUUAAAAACAUAUUACCGCAUUGGAGGGGAAUCUGGAUUAACUACCCACUGUUCCCCCCCAACUUUUGAAAAAUUUUGGCCAUAUAGAAUGCGUGAAAAAUCAGUAUGAUCUUAUGAGGACUUUAUAGUACUGUAAAUCUUAGGAGCACUUUAGUUGUUUUGUUUGUUUGUUUGUUUUGCCAGUCAAAUAGCAGUGGGGGAUUGUAUACCAACUUUAGUGACACUGAUAUUAAUAAGUUCUGAUAACCCACUACCAUCGGACCAGCCUGGAGCACGUUGCUUUGGCCAGUGGAAAGUCUCUUGGAGAGACUUUGAGGUUUGUGAUGACAAAUCAUGCUAUCACUAAAGUUAAAUACAUACAUAUAUACACCUAGAAUAUAAGCAGAAUGGAGAUGUUGGCAGGGAUGAAUUCAAGAACAUUAGAGUGAAUUUUUUUCAUUACAGAAUUGUUAGUUCCUUUAGGAACUUAGUCUCGUAGAUGUAUAUAUUUAAUUAGCAUAACUUGGACAGCACAAGAUUAAUGCUUUAACUUGUUUGCAGGAGUUUAAAAAGCUGGUUUCUGUUGCCAAUAGUUGGUUGGAAGGGAAAAUGGAGAUGCCACAAAUAAAAUUUUUUGGAUGUGCAAAACAGUUUUGAUUUUAUUUCUUACAAACUAUAGGACUCCAAGCCCCCUGAUCCUUGAUCAGAACUACAUUAACACCAAAAAUCAAGUUAUCAAAGCAGAGAGGAGGGUGCUAAAGGAGUUGGGAUUUUGUGUUCAUGUCAAGCAUCCUCAUAAGGUGAGUUGUAGAGUACAGAAAUUGGGUUCGUAAGUAUUAGGACUUUUCUAAAAAUUUUAUUUUAUAUGAAUUUAUGUUUCUAUCUGAGCGUUAACCUUGGUUUUAAAAAGCAUUCUUUUAAAGGUUCAGGCUUCAUCGAAAAACAUUCUUUUGGAUGUUGAGGUUUAUCAGUAAAAUGACAGUCAAAAAUGUAGGUUCAAAUCUUAAAUCUUAAUUGUGUGCUCAUAGAGAAGUUAUUUUUGUUUCUGUGGUUAAAGUCCCAGUUUUUCCACCUAGAAAACAGAGAUGUAAAGUUCCUCAUUCCAAGGAAUAAAUGUGUAGCUACAAAAGUAUCUGGCACACUUAUCGUCAUGGUAGAAUGUUCUAAGUGUGUUGGCUGCUCACUGUUAUCAUUAUUGGAAAUUUGUUUCUCCCAACAUCUCUUAGUUUUCAUUAUCAAUAUAAGCCGUAGAGUGAGUUACCUGGGUCAGGACUACCUGGGUUAGAAAUGUACCUUGGGAAAUUAGGUGAAAUAAUCUAGCACGGUGCCCAUCACAUAGUAAAGUGCCAAUGAAAAAUAUUCUUUUAAUUGCCUUUUUUCCUGUACAAUUUUGAAAUAUACUUCUAAACAUAAUUUAUAUAAAAUCUGAUCAUGUAACAGUUCACGUUAGAAUCUUAUGUACAUUUAAAUUGGUCUGUAUUAUCGAUGCACAAUUAGAACUUGAGUCUAACAUUUUCAAUUACUUUUUUCAUUGAACUCUACUCUGAAAGAACUACCAGUAUACUAAAUUGAGUUUUUUUCCCUUGUCCUUCAGAUCAUUGUUAUGUAUUUACAAGUCUUAGAAUGUGAACGUAAUCAAACCCUGGUUCAAACUGCCUGGUAAGUCACUUUUUUAGAUUUCUUUCCUAGCCAGGAAAACAGAAGCAGAAAUAAAGUAAGUUUCGUUUUCCCUUUCCAAAAUAAUGAGAUAAGUUUGGGGCUUUUCGUUGUUUUUUGUUUGUUUGUUUUUUUAACCAAAAGGUAAAUAAUGCUUAUUUCUGCUUCCUGUUUUCUUGGCUUGACUAAUUACUUUUAAUGGAGAACUCAAUUUAACUUUGUUCUUUUUUCUACUCUUUAAUUAAAGGGUAGUCCAUGAUGGUAAGUCAUAGAACUCUGCCCUCUGCACUUCAGCCCAUGACCUCAGGAUGGCCUGAUUGGCUACCCUGCUCUCCAGCCAAUCCAGUGCAAGCUCUCAUCCGAGAUUCACUGAAGUGGUCCAUAUCCAUCUGGCAGCAUCUUCUAGUUCUGUCGGGGUGUCAAAAGGAUUUGUAUAUUUGCUUCUAGAAGUAACUAUUUGACAUGCCUAUGUAUUUAAUGUAUACUUGUAACUAUCAAAAUGAAUAGUUCAUUUUUGAUAGAUUUGUUGUGCAGCCAUUAUGAAUUAAAUGGUUUCUUAUUAGGAGUUUGACUAAAUUUUUAUUUUUAGUGUGUAUAGCAUGAAUUCUACCAAAGGAGACUACAAACUUGCAGCUUAAAAUGGGCACCAGUUCCCACACUGGCUUAAUUUAUAUAACUGCUUGGCUGUAUUGCGGGUAAUAAUAUUAGAAGCAAGAAGCACUUCAUUUUUAAAAGAGAUGUUACUAUAAUAUUGCUUAAAUGCUUUAGCACUUGGACUUCUUGAGAUGCAGAUGUGUGAUUUGGAGUGCUGGCUUAUUUAAAGGUCAAGCCAAGGAGUUUGUGGUUCAGCCACAACUACUGUUUCCUAAGACUAUUGAUGUGAAGGACUUCGUGAAGUAAUUUUUAUAUUCUGGGCUUCCCAGCAAGAUGUCCUUUUUAUGACUGCCAUGCUUCUUUUGGACUCAGUAAAUAUUUGUAAUGUUAGAAAAGUCUCAUUAUUUUUAUAAAAUGCAUGACAUUUAAGUAUGUGUUGCAUAAAAUGGAUUAUAGCAGUUCUCAUGGUUUAGGAUUUUUAAGAAAAUAGUCCAUUUAAUUUCAGCUUAACCUUUUAAAUGACCUGUAAAAUUUCUUUGAUAGUUUAGGAAUGUUGUGGGGAGGGUUCAUUAAUAAAAGUUCAGCAAUUUUUUAACUGAAAUAGUUUAUCUCUUUUACCUAGUCACAAAAAAGGUAUGUAAACAAGGCCAUUAUAUGUGUUUAUUGCUCUUUACUUCCCUAUCUAGAUUUUCUAAGUAUCUUAGCUUUCUUAAUAUAAGUUUAACUUGGUACUUGCUGAAAAUGCCUUUUUACCCCUGUUAACGGUAUUUUGAGCUUUUGAAAAGAACUUGGUUGACACUGCUUUUAUUGUGGAUAAAGGAGAGAUGGUCAGUAAUUAAUGGCUUGAAGUAUUAUUGGAGUGGUUUAUCAUUUCUGAAACUAAUCGUGUCAGAAUUGACUUUGAAAAGCAUUGCUUUUUACAGAAAUAUAUUAACUUUUUAGGAGUAAUUUCUAGUUUGGAUUGUAAUACGAAAUAAUUUAAAAGGGCUUGCUCAUAUAUAGGAAAAUUGCAUAUGGUCCUAGUAUUAAAUUCUUAUUGCUUACUGAUUUUUUUGAGUUAAGAGUUGUUAUAUGCUAGAAUAUGAGAAUGUGAAUAUAAAUAAGAGAAGAAAAAAGAAUAAAGUAGAUUGAGUCUCCAAUUUUAUGUAAGCUUCAGAAGAACUGGUUUGUUUACAUGCAAGCUUAUAGUUGAAAUAUUUUUCAGGAAUUACAUGAAUGACAGUCUUCGAACCAAUGUGUUUGUUCGAUUUCAACCAGAGACUAUAGCAUGUGCUUGCAUCUACCUUGCAGCUAGAGCACUUCAGAUUCCAUUGCCAACUCGUCCCCAUUGGUUUCUUCUUUUUGGUACUACAGAAGAGGAAAUCCAGGAAAUCUGCAUAGAAACACUUAGGCUUUAUACCAGAAAAAAGCCAAACUAUGAAUUACUGGAAAAAGAAGUAGAAAAAAGAAAAGUAGCCUUACAAGAAGCCAAAUUAAAAGCAAAGGGAUUGAAUCCGGAUGGAACUCCAGCCCUUUCAACCCUGGGUGGAUUUUCUCCAGCCUCCAAGCCAUCAUCACCAAGAGAAGUAAAAGCUGAAGAGAAAUCACCAAUCUCCAUUAAUGUGAAGACAGUCAAAAAAGAACCUGAGGAUAGACAACAGGCUUCCAAAAGCCCUUACAAUGGUGUAAGAAAAGACAGCAAGAGAAGUAGAAAUAGCAGAAGUGCAAGUCGAUCAAGGUCAAGAACACGAUCACGUUCUAGAUCACAUACUCCAAGAAGACACUAUAAUAAUAGGCGGAGUCGAUCUGGAACAUACAGCUCGAGAUCAAGAAGCAGGUCCCGCAGUCACAGUGAAAGCCCUCGAAGACAUCAUAAUCAUGGUUCUCCUCACCUUAAGGCCAAGCAUACCAGAGAUGAUUUAAAAAGUUCAAACAGACAUGGUCAUAAAAGGAAAAAAUCUCGUUCUCGAUCUCAGAGCAAGUCUCGGGAUCACUCAGAUGCAGCCAAGAAACACAGGCAUGAAAGGGGACAUCAUAGGGACAGGCGUGAACGAUCUCGAUCCUUUGAGAGGUCCCAUAAAACCAAGCACCAUGGUGGCAGUCGCUCAGGACAUGGCAGGCACAGGCGCUGACUUUCUCUUCCUUUGAGCCUGCAUCAGUUCUUGGUUUUGCCUAUCUACAGUGUGAUGUAUGGACUCAAUCAAAACAUUAAACGCAAACUGAUUAGGAUUUGAUUUCUUGAAACCCUCUAGGUCUCUAGAACACUGAGGACAGUUUCUUUUGAAAAGAACUAUGUUAAUUUUUUUGCACAUUAAAAUGCCCUAGCAGUAUCUAAUUAAAAACCAUGGUCAGGUUCAAUUGUACUUUAUUAUAGUUGUGUAUUGUUUAUUGCUAUAAGAACUGGAGCGUGAAUUCUGUAAAAAUGUAUCUUAUUUUUAUACAGAUAAAAUUGCAGACACUGUUCUAUUUAAGUGGUUAUUUGUUUAAAUGAUGGUGAAUACUUUCUUAACACUGGUUUGUCUGCAUGUGUAAAGAUUUUUACAAGGAAAUAAAAUACAAAUCUUGUUUUUUCUAAA